GCAGUGAAUCGCGGGUAAUCACGGAUCGGUGUGUAGCAGGUGUGUGGCUGGCAGCUGAUCGUAACGGUACGAGGUUCAGGGUCAAUCGCUGGACAAUGUUGGCGAGCAGUGACGCGUGGUGACGCGGUUCGGUGGACGUCGAAA
Molecule: long non-coding RNA, 144 nt
Organism: Apis florea (little honeybee)
Lineage: Eukaryota; Metazoa; Arthropoda; Insecta; Hymenoptera; Apidae
Source: RefSeq, a predicted model, not a curated record